UAGGGAAUCUUCCGCAAUGGACGAAAGUCUGACGGAGCAACGCCGCGUGAGUGAAGAAGGAUUUCGGUUCGUAAAACUCUGUUGUUAGGGAAGAAAAAAUGUAUAGUAACUAUAUACAAAAGAGACGGUACCUAACCAGAAAGCCACGGCUAACUACGUGCCAGCAGCCGCGGUAAUACGUAGGUGGCAAGCGUUGUCCGGAAUUAUUGGGCGUAAAGCGCGCGCAGGUGGUUUAGAAAGUCUGAUGUGAAAGCCCACGGCUCAACCGUGGAGGGUCAUUGGAAACUAAUAAACUUGAGUGCAGGAGAGAAAAGUGGAAUUCCUAGUGUAGCGGUGAAAUGCGUAGAGAUUAGGAGGAACACCGGUGGCGAAAGCGGCUUUUUGGCCUACAACUGACACUGAGGCGCGAAAGCGUGGGGAGCAAACAGG
RNAcentral lists this ribosomal RNA (429 nucleotides) under Verrucomicrobiota bacterium. Its description in RNAcentral is "Verrucomicrobia bacterium partial 16S ribosomal RNA". It matches the Rfam family "Bacterial small subunit ribosomal RNA", at positions 355 to 776 of the family's 1533-position model. The record is from RNAcentral. Lineage: Bacteria; Pseudomonadati; Verrucomicrobiota.